GAUGAACGCUGGCGGCGUGCCUAAUACAUGCAAGUCGAGCGAAUGGAUUAAGAGCUUGCUCUUAUGAAGUUAGCGGCGGACGGGUGAGUAACACGUGGGUAACCUGCCCAUAAGACUGGGAUAACUCCGGGAAACCGGGGCUAAUACCGGAUAACAUUUUGAACCGCAUGGUUCGAAAUUGAAAGGCGGCUUCGGCUGUCACUUAUGGAUGGACCCGCGUCGCAUUAGCUAGUUGGUGAGGUAACGGCUCACCAAGGCAACGAUGCGUAGCCGACCUGAGAGGGUGAUCGGCCACACUGGGACUGAGACACGGCCAAGACUCCUACGGGAGGCAGCAGUAGGGAAUCUUCCGCAAUGGACGAAAGUCUGACGGAGCAACGCCGCGUGAGUGAUGAAGGCUUUCGGGUCGUAAAACUCUGUUGUUAGGGAAGAACAAGUGCUAGUUGAAUAAGCUGGCACCUUGACGGUACCUAACCAGAGAGCCAUGGCUAACUACGUGCCAGCAGCCGCAGUAA
Molecule: ribosomal RNA, 515 nt
Filed under: uncultured bacterium
Lineage: Bacteria
Description: partial 16S ribosomal RNA
Rfam family: Bacterial small subunit ribosomal RNA
Source: RNAcentral